This 13794-nucleotide long non-coding RNA is filed under the name Capsicum annuum. RNAcentral's name for it is "long non-coding RNA (CANN_LNC012739)". The record is from RNAcentral. Lineage: Eukaryota; Viridiplantae; Streptophyta; Magnoliopsida; Solanales; Solanaceae.
UGAUAUAGGACUCUGAGUCGUCUUCUUCAUCUUUGUUCCUCUGCUUCGUCUUCUCUCCUCCAUCUUCUUCCCCAACUACAAGUUUUGCAUUUUUUUUCCCAAUACAAUACAAAUCACUAUGUGCACAAUUUAGUAGUCCACCACGGCACCGAUAUUCUCGGCUUCAAAAACCUGUUACAUCGUGAACAAUACCUGCAACAACCAACACGAACAAGAAGAUUUACCAAGAAAAAAGCUUCAAACGAUACAAAAGGAUUGGUAUAAAUUACUAUGUAACAGCAAAAUUGAAGGUAUUUUAUUUUCGAGCUAUUCAAAUCUUUACUUUGAGAUAUCAAAAUUUCAAUUUUUCUCCCAAUUGUUGGUCAACACACCCGAUCUCGUUUGACCGGAUCCGACACAGAUCCCACACCCUUACUCGUGUCAGUGUCGUGUCGACACGGGUGCGGCACCGAAAUUGCCGAGUCCGAGCAACUUAGAUUCACCCUACCAAACGACCCCUAAGAGUUAAAGUCUCACUUGCCUCUAAAAUGACAACCUUCACUUGAAAUGCUCAAACUGCUCCUAUUGAUCUUCAAAGUCCUCUAUCUAUUAGCAUUGAUCGACAAUGUUCUUGAUGCCACACGUACUUACAUGAUGUUCUUAUUUCCCAUUCCUAAGAGUGUUAUUGAGGGACUGGAUGUUUUGAGAAGGAACUUCCUUUGGCAGGGUAACAGUGACAGUAAGAAGUUCCAUCUGGUUAAACGGGAGGCACUUAUAGGGAGCAAAAAGGCAAGGGGAUUGGGAAUAAGGAAUUUGAAAGAACAUAAUCAAAGCCUUUUGCUGAAAGGGCUUGGAGAUUCGCUUCUAAUGAAAAAUCCUUGUUGAAAGAGGAUAUAAGUUUGAAAUAUGAAAGGGAAAGUAACUUGACUACUAAGCUUGUAACAAGUAUCUAUGGAACUACUCUAUGGAACUCUAUCAGGGAUCAAUGACCAAAACUAAAAGGAAAUUGCAGAUUAAAGGUUGGAAAUGGCAUGAAGACUUCCUUUGGGAAGACAAUUGGAAAGAACAAGGUACCUUGAAAUUUUUAAUCCCAGAUAUAUACAUCAAAAUGCUACAGUGGAAGAGGUAUGGUCCAAUCAGGGGUGAAAUUUGAGGUUGAGAAGACUUCUAAAUGACUUGGGAGAUUCAGAGGUUAGCUGAUUUCUACAAGACAUUAGAGCAAUUCAAAGGACCAUCUGAUGUUGAAGACUGCCUAAUCUGGCAAAAUCACAAUCAAGGCAAGUUUUCUGUUAAGGAGGCAUAUAGGCAUUUUAACAUUUCCAGAAACCCGACUGAUCACUGGCUCUGAAAGUCUCUUCUUUUGUGUGGCUGCUAGCUAAACAGGUAGUUCUAACUCAGGAGAAUCUCAUGAAAAAAGGUAUUCAUCUUUGUCCAAGAUGCUUCUUAUGUGGUGAAGAAGUAAAGACUGUUAGGCACCUCUUCAUAAACCCAGAUUACUUAUCAGUUAUGGAGUUUAUUCAUCAAUAUCUAAGGGUUAUCUUGGAUUACGCCUGGGAGCAUUGUACAAGUCCUGGAAAUGUGGAAUAGUUAUGGAAACCUUUCUGGUCACAAAAAGAGAUGGAGAAUUCUACCGGCUUGCAUCUGUUGGUCGGUAUGGAGAGUAAGGAACCCUAGACGUUUUGAUAAAUGUAACUCAAUUUAGAAGGUAAAGAUGAACUGCCUUGCUUUAUUCGUUUUUUGGUUUAAACAAGAGUAUACGGAGGAUCUAGAAUCUUUUUUGGAUGUCUUAGGUUCUAUGAAAAAAAGAUUUUAUUUUGGAUGUCUUAGGUUCUAUAUACCACUAUGUGGGGUAUACUGGGUAUGUUGUUGUUGUUAGGUUCUAUAUAAGCUCUUAUAUAGGAUUGAAGAUCUUCUUGACACUCCGUUAUAACUAUGGAAACCUGUAACUCAUUGUGGCAGGCCUUAUUUUUGGAUAUAUAUACUAGUGUUACCUUUAUAAAAAAAGUCUUAUUCCACUCACCAAAACCCUCAUAUUACUCUAUUUCCAAAUAACUCACAUGAUUGCCAAAGGGGACAUACUACAAUCCUUGACUUCAUCUCUCCCUUAUUUGAGUCUAGCUUUGCAACUCUUCCUUCACUAUUUCUAGUAUUACCCAUUGUUUCCCGUACAGAUUAAAGAUCACCAGCUAUAAUUGUUUAACCACUCAACAAUGUAAUAGAAGAUAGUCUACAUCUCCACCUGAGCUUUUGUACAUAAAACACCAAUUGACACAGGUGAUCCUCUUCCUCAAAUUUUUCGUUGUCAAGAUACAUAAUAGGAAAAAAAAAGUUCCUCUCACCAGUAAGCUCUUGUAAAAAGAACUAUCAGUAAAGAAGCCGUUUUUGCUCUCCGCCCACAUCCAUACAUCCCUAGUAUUGUCAGGUGUGUCCAGACCAUAUAAUGUCUCAAUCAACUUGUGAAAUUCUCCGAUCUCCCAAUUCUGCAAGUUUUGUAGGUUUCUUUUGAAUCUUAAGUCCCAUGAAUUACCCCCUCAUGUGACGUACAAAUUUGUUGGACUAAAUCUAUCUUUAGCAAGACACAACAUAAAUGUUUGCGCAGGCUUCCUUCAACUCGUUCUCUCCGCAACUUAUGCGCCCAAAAACUAAUUUUGCUUCCAUAGCUAACCUUACAAGAUAUGUGUCCGUUUAAGUCAUCCCACCCUUUCAUAGUACUCCUCUAUACGUCACACCCAAAUAGAGUUGUGAUGUUUCAGGUUCUUCAUCCACCUUCCAUAACCCCACAUUUCUCCGAUAUCACCCUACUCGAAAAAACAUUCUUCUCCACUCAAAUCUCCCUAUCACGUCCCUAGCCAAGAUUUAUUAAGCACCUUAAUAUCUUUCACUCCGAACCCCAAGCCCCCUUCCUUUCUUGCACCAUCCGUUGUGUCCCAUAAAAAGUUUCUUUAGAGUCUUUUCAACCCUUCAGCCAUUUUUUUAGGAACUUUCAAAAGUGACAUGAAAUAUGUAGGUAUACUAGAAAGUGUGCUUUUGAUCACUACUUCCUUCCCCCAUUUCGACAAGUACCUCUUUGGCCAUCCGGCUAACUGCUUCUUUACUCUCUCAAUCACUGGAUUCCACAUUGCAAGAUCUUUGUUUGAAGCACCUUACAGUAAUUUCAAAUAGAUAGAUAGUCCGCAAAGUACCCACCUUACAAUCCUAUGCAAUCUCUUCAAUAUAUCCACUUCUUCCAUUAAUGUGAUCUCACAUUUUCUGUGAGUAAUCUUAAGGCCUGACACAAUCUAGAAUUAGAUAAGAAUCUGUCUUAAAUGAUCUAGCCAAGUCAUCUCUGCAUCACAAAAGACCAAGGUCUCAUUUGGAAAUAAAAAACGCGUGACUGUCACAUCACAAUGCCCCCUAAACUAAGCAUCAAACCCUUCAAUAGACUUGUAUGUACUGCCUUCAAUGGAUCUCCCAGAUUCUCAAAGAAGCUUCCCAGGACAGAUGGAAGACUAUAGACAAAGAGUAGGAGUUUUAUGAUACUAGAAAGUACAAUGUACACGGGAGGUAUAUGAGCUUUGUGUCUCUCACAGGAGAAUUCAGAGAAGUAAUUAUAGUCCCCGAGAUAGCCAUAAAUGCGGGAUGGAGUGAUAUCGCCCUUAAGAUUGACAACUUCAUUAAUAACUCUAUGCAACAGAGGUUUAAACAACCUCCAAAACAAACUAUUCCGUACGCCAAGGUGGUUGAACGCAGUAAAUGGCAACAACAGCACCCCAAGGUCAGCCAACUUGAUGGGAAGGGCCUACUAGGGAGAAGAAGUAUUAUUGGGUUCUUUGAAAGAUCUGAGACCCCUACACCAGCAGAUGUUAAAAGGUGGGCUACAUUAACCUGGAAAAAAGCCUUUGGGGUUAACGUUUAUGAAAUGACAGGACAUUUGUUCCUCUUUGAAUUCCCUAAUAGGCAUAUAGCUGAGCAGUAUUGCAAGGAGAAUGGGUUUAGAGAAACAAUAAGGCCCAACUAGAGUAGUGGAAUCCUCUAGUUGGGUGUGCGCCUUCUCAGCAAAGUCAAAAUUCAACAUGGACUAUAGCAAUGGGUCUUCCUUUGCACUUACAGAACAAAGACAUCUUCCAAGGGAUAGGUGAUAAGUGUGGAGGUUGGAAAAGAACAAAAGAGGAAACAAAGCUAAGGAAUCAUCUCAAAUAGGCUCGAAUUGAAAUCAAAGGUGACGGUAGUAAAAUACCCAAGGAGGUCUACAUAUCAAAAGAGGAAUACAACUUCAGAAUCCCGAUAUGGUUAGAGAAACCGACGACCUCCAAGAUUGAUCAAGACAUAGAACCGACGAGCUCACAUACAGUCAUGGCAGAAACGGUGAGGACAAGUGAAACUCUAGAAAUGGGCUUUGCACAAAGGUCUCUCCAGUGUUUUAUGAAGUCGUUGGAUAAUAACCUGAGGAAAAAAGCUUCAUUUGAAGUCAUUAAAAAUAUUGCAAAGCUGGCAGCUGUUGACUGGACAAAUCACGUGGACAUCAGUGAUUUUUCAAAAAAUAAAUCACGUGAUGGGCAUGUGAUUUCAUUAAACCUGGAAGAGGUGCAGUUGGGCCGACCUAACUCUGGGCUUAUCCAGAAGACUUCUGAAUUAAAUAACAAUUUGGCCCAAUCCAAUUUAGAGAUACAAAGCGUAAUUGGCAAAAGAACAGAGGAUCUCCAAACCAUCGAUGUAUCCUCAGAUAUAUCAGAAGACAUAAAAGGUCUGAACGACAUAGAGAUGAGCCAUGAAGAGACGGAUGGAGAAGCAAGACUGGAAGACAUAAAAAGGGUGGAUAAUUGCAAGGAAAAACAAAUUGCAAUCAGUAAUUCAAGCAAUUCAAGCAUGGGUGGAGAUAUUUGGGAGGUGGAGGAUGCUAUUCCAAUUACAAUAGAAUCAACGUCACAAAUCUUUGAGAAUGGGAAGGUCAUAUCAACUUGGGUGCGUCAGAAUAUCAUCAAGCUUGGCAAGAUGUUUGGAGCUGAUUUUAAAGGUAAUGAAGAGGAAACACUGAACUACUAAUGCAAAUAAACGCAUUCAAAUAGUUCAGAAAGUUGGAAUCAUCUUCAGAUAUCAAAAAGACCAGAUUCAAAGGAUCUAAUGAACUGAAACCUAAUCUCUUUAUGUUAAGUUCAAAAACAGUGAGGGUAGGAGCAAGGGGAAAGGGUGCAAACAGACUGAGAUAUAAAGCUCAAUCUAGUGUCGUGGAAUGUUAGGGGAUUAAAUGAUAGGGGAAGAGGAGGGUAGUGAAGAAUUGCAUAGAAAAGUGGAGGCCUGAUAUUAUUUGUCCACAAGAAACGAAGUUACAAGGAAACAUCCAAGAGUUAAUAAGACAAUUUUCUUUUUUUUUUAAGGGGGGGGGGGGGGGGGCUUUUUUUUUUUUUGGGGGGGGGGGGGGGGGGUAGAUGGUUCAAAUACUUAUGUCAAGAAGCAAGUGGAAUAAGAGAAGGGAUUACAAUGUUAUGGGAUAGUAGAGUUUGGAAGGGGGAGAUACUUGAAAUGGGGUUUCACACCUUAAUAUGCAGAUUUGAAGCAUUGCUCCAGAAUUUCAAUUAUCAUGUAACAGGGGUUUACGGACCAAAUUGCAAGUUAGAAAGAAGAGAAGUUUGGGAUGAAUUAGGGGAUGUUAAAGGUUUGAUAGAGGGUCCAUAGGUUCCCUUCAGAGAAAAUCCACUGCCAUGUUAGAAUUUUCAGACAUACUGAAGGAUCUAGAUCUGAUUGAUUUGCCACUUGAGGGGGGAAACUUCACUUGGUUCAAAGGAGACAUUCAUACUACAGCUUCCAGGAUAGACAGAAUCUUGUUUACUUCAGAAUGAAGUGAACAAUUCAGCAAGGUGAAGCAGACUGCUUUUCAGAGACUGAUAUCUGAUCAUGUUCCCCUAGCUCUACAAUGUGCUCCUUGGGAUCAAAACAAGUCAUAUUUCAAGUUCGAAAAAUUGGUGGCUAAAUACAGAAGGCUUCACAAAUAGAGUUAGUUCAUGGUGGAAUUCCUUCGCAUUCCAUGGGAAACCAAAUUAUAUACUAGUUUGCAAGCUUAAAGAUCUGAAAGAAAAACUUAAGGAAUGGAACAAAGAAGAGAGGUGAUUUGCAGAUCCAAAGAACCAACUUGCUUAAUAAAAUGGCACAUAUGGAUUCAUUAAUGGAGAAUAGAGCUCUAACAGAAGAUGAGGCAGCUUUGAAGACAACAACUUUUAUGGAGUAUGAAGAAUUAAUCAAAAAUGAAGAAAUAGCAUGGAGACAAUGGUCGAGAAUUUUAUGGUUGAAAGAAGGUGACAACAAUACUAAUUUUUUCCAUAUUUCUGCCAAUGCUCACAAAAGAAGCAAUUGCAUUGGCCAAUUAGAAGUCUAAGGGGAAUUAGUGAAGGAACCAGGCAGAGUUAAGGAGGAAAUAAUUCAGUUUUACUAGAAUUUGUACACUAGGCCAGAAAGGUGGAGACCAACAGGGAACAUGACAAACUGUCCAAAGAUUUCAGAAGUAGAAAAUAUACAAUUACAAGCUAAUUUGAGGAACAUGAGGUACAUAGUUGUUUGAAAAAAUGUGCUGCAGAUAAGGCCCUAAGGCUCCUGACCCAUGGUUACACCAUGGGAUUCUACAUCAAAUGCCAGGAUGUAAUAAAAAAUGACAUCAUGGAUGCCUUCCACAAUUUCUAUCAACAAGAAAUGUUUGGAGAUGGGUGCUCUUCCUUCUAUAUAUUUAGAGAUGCCAUUGGGGGCUAAAUCAAGAUCCGAAGAAAUCUGGGAGAAUGUCUUGGAGAAAUAUGAAAGAAAGUUGUCUAGAUGGAAAGCUCAAUAUCUAUCUUUGGGAGGCAGACUUACUUUGAUCAAUGUUGUUCUUAAUGCCCUCCUAACCUAUAUGAUGAUCUUAUUCUCCAUCCCAACAAGUGUGGUACAAAGGUUGGAUAAAAUCAGGGGAAGGUAACAAAAUCAGGGAAGGGUUUCACCUAGUGAAGUGGAAAGUUCUCAUAACCAGUAAAAAACAAGGAGGCCUGGGUAUCAAGAACUUGAAGAAUCAAUGUAAAGCACUGAAAAUGAAGUGGUUGUGGAGAUAUGCUCAAGAGUCACAAACUCUAUGGAAUAGGGUAAUCGGGCUGAAGUAUGGGGAUAUGAAUGGUUGGGUUACCAAAGAAGCAACCAAUCCUUAUAGUGUAACUGUUUGGAGGUCCAUCAGGAAUUAGUGGACUAUAAUGCAAAACCAUGUCGCCAUCAAAGUCUUUGAUGGUAACAAAACUGUCUUCUAGAAGGACCGGUGGUUAGGCAAUAAGAGUCUUACAGAGAUGUUCCCAGACUUGUUUGCUCUUGCUCAACAACAAGACAAAACUAUGGCUGAUAUGUGGUCUCCACAAGGUUAGGAUUUAAGCCUCAGACGAGACGAAACUUGAAUGAUUGGGAAAUCCCAAGAAUGGUGGAACUCCUUAAAGUUGUUGAAUCAUUUGAAGGUUUUAAAGAUUGAAAGGACAAACUUUGGUGGAAUAGACAUUACAAAGGGAUUUACGAGGUCAACUCUGGAUACAAGCUACUAAAUAAAACAACGCCACAAGCUAGCAGGUGGUCAUGGAAACAAAGCUGGAAAACCAAUACCCUCCUGAAGGUUGCGUGCUUCUCAUGGUUGUUAGCGAAGGAAGUUGUUUUAACACAUGAAAAUUUGAGGAAGAGGAAUAUAAUUUUAGUCACUCAUUGCUGUCUAUGUGGAGAGGCAGUUGAGACAGUGGGACAUUUAUUUUUGCAUUGCAAAUUCACUAGCCAACUAUGGAAGAUUUUCAUCAAUCUCAGAGGUAUACAAUGGGUAAUGCCUAGCAAGAUUGUUGACACUCUAUCUAGUUGGGAGGAAGCUGGGAAAGGAGCAAAGAACUUGAACUAUUGGAGAACUAUCCCAUCUUGUAUUUGGUGGACUGUUUGGAAGAAGAGAAAUGCUAGAAGUUUUGAAGACAAUGUAGAACACUUCAGAAGAUUAAGACAUACUGUAUUUUGCUUUUGAAUUUUUGGUGCACAAAGAACUCCCCUGUAGAGGUUGAAGAUAUCCUAGAAGUUUUAGAAUCUUGCUAGGAUGGGGAGCCUUUUCUUUUUUAUUUUUCUAUCUUCUUUUAGCUAGAUGCUCACUCUGUAAAGGGGUUUUAUGCACUACCUAAGUGCUGGUUUAUAAUACAAAUGUUACCUUCUCAAAAAUUAAAAGAAACAAUGUUGUAAGAGAACUAAAAUGAAUCUGUAUGGCCUCAGAGCCUUGUCUCCCACGCAAGGCAGAACUCACCACGACUUCCCUCACCUCUUCUUCUAUUUCCUUUCCAACUACUCCCUCAUCCCCUUCCUUAUUCGACUAAAUACCAACCCUCCCAUUUUUGUCCUCCAAGUAGUAUCUUCCUUGAAUGUUCAUAAAACCCCACAAUAGCCUUCUUUACUUCCUCCUCCCCUUAAAUACCUCUAUUUACUUCCAUGGGCUCAAUGAAGUUCCUCUUACUAUUUGGUACCACAACUUUAUGAAAUUUUUUGUAUUAGAAUCUCCCUCUUUUAGCCACAAUGUCCUCGAUUUUUGCCUCCAAGUAAUCUUUUGAGCAACCACUAAAUUGGCUAGCUCCCUUUUCACCUAAUCUUGAAGAGAAAUGUUAGAGUGGGUGAAAGUCCCAUAUUGGUUGGGGAAUGGACCAGUGGUCUGCUUAUAUGGACUUGGGCAAUCAUCCCCUUAUGAGCUAGGCUUUGGGGUUGAGUUAGGCCCAGGUGUCAUAUCCUUACAAUGGUAUCAGUGUCAAGUCCAUCCUUGUUUGGGCUCUCCGUCCAUGCUCUAGUUAAGGCAUGGGCCUGAAGGGGAUGUUUCAACUAUGGUAACUAAAUAUUCAAAUCCCUACAAAUAAGCUAUGUUAUCUAUAUACAUUAUUAUACAGAAACCAUACUUAUACUGAUGUGUGACUUAUUUUUAUUAUCUAGUAAAGUCACCAUUCGGUCAACUGGUUUAGAAUUUAAUAAAUAUUAUGUUCCCACAAAGCCACCACUCAAGAUUCCAAAUCCAUAAUCAAAAUCUUAUUUUCAUUGGAAAUUGAUGGUCAAUUGACCAUUUUCUCAAAUUCAGGCCUACAGCAAAAAACCCAUCAUCCUGUGAUUUUUUGUGUUAGAUUCAUCGCUGAAACAAUUUGUAGUGAUUAGAAAAGGUGUGUAACGAUAUGUUAAUGUUUCUCCUUGAUCCCCAAUGUUACCUUUUCCCCACAAGAUAUAUGCUCUCCACAUCUCCAAAUAUAAUUAAGAGUUUGCACUAGAUUUUCUUAUACAAACAACUGGGAUGAAUCUGGUAUCUUUAUAAUUGUUGCACCAAAGAAACGGUACACUUAAUUAUUUCACUGUUAAUUGUCUGAGACAUAUCUAACAGACUCAAAAUUGGAGAAAGUAGAAACUAGUUUCUACAAGUCACAAGUAAUGAUACAGACCUAACCAUGCGGGCAAGUUACCAUUGGUACCGCAUAUGCACAAAAUGAGGGGUCGGUUUCUUUAAUCUUUUUUUCUUUAAAUGCUAUUUAUGUGGAAAAGACCGUUUCGAAUUUUUUAUGCAGUUGAACAGAGAAAACUUUUACGGGUAGGGUAACCAACCGCUUAAUUUAAGUAGGUUGUGCUAUAGGUAAAUAUAUUUAUGUGAUAAAUCCUCAAAGCUUUUAAAGCCAGGAAAGUGAGCUUAAUUAUCAAUCUCAAGUUUUAAGGAUAAUUAACUGUCGACUCCAUGAAUCUAAAGGAUGCUGUGGAAUUUUCUAUUGAUGUGAUGUAAACAAAAGUGCUGCAGCAAAUUCAUCGUGCAAUCGUUCUUCAUGCCUUCUAGCAAUUAAAAGUCACAUAUCAUUGGAGACUUCCACGUAUGAAUUUUUGAUGACAUUGUUUUUUUUCUUUUUGUAUGAAUUAAGUAGGCAAUCAUGGAAGAAAUCUAGGAACAAGAAAUUAAAUUUUUACCCUUGUGGAGACACUAAAAUUUAUAAGCUGCACCUGCUGUCAUGCCUGAUAGAUCUCAGCGUGGAUUUUUAACUUAUUGUGAUUGAAAUAUUAAUUUCUUAUUAAUAUGUUUUUAGGAACAACAAAGUUGAAAGAAUUACACGGGACAGCUUGUAUUAGUGCAUUAUCUGGGACAUGGGGAGAUGAUCCUAAUGGAGAAGUAUAUCAUGUGUAUAAAAUGAACUUCCCUUGCAACAUCGAGGAAGUGAAAUAUUCCAGUUUUAUCCUUUUGCUUCAAUCAGAACUAGAUUACGAUGUGGGAAAUGUGGAAGUGGAGCUCUUCUUAGUUUCCAAGUUUGUCAAAUCUUCUGUGACGCAUUGUGGGAAAGUACAUUUGGAUGCCCAACAGGUUGAAACCGAGUGAAACUAUUUUUAAGUAUUUUUAUAAUUCACUUAUGUUAGCAUUUGCAUUUCAUAUCUGAUAAGCAGUAAAACAUUCAGGUUGCUAAAGCAAAAACAUUCCAAGAACUAUUCUUUAAUGGGUUGUUUGGUAAAUUAUUUAUUAAAUCAUUGGAUGGAAGGAAAUUUCUGCUUGAUACAAAAGAAUCUUUGUGGAAGCCAUCCAACAUGUACUUGCUUCUACCGCUGGAUCCUGUAGAUUCAAGUUGUGAACCCUACAGAGUUGAUUGGGGAGGAAUUGAAUCUUCCGUUUCAGUUGUGGAAUUUUUGAAAAAUAAUGCAUGGUUAAGCGCUGAGAAAUCUGAAACUAAACGGAAGAACUCCUUAGUUGACAGAACUGCAUCAUUUGUGGGAGAUCUUGAUCAAACAGAUCUGAUUCACUUCGCCAAUAUAUCAAUCUCAAGAAGCAGGCUUAAGGACAUGGUUGUUGUGGCCAUUCAUACUGGAAGAAUAUAUUCUGUUCUGGAAGCUGUUGCCAAUACUUCCUCAGAGAGCCCCUUUGAAGUAGAUUCGGAAGCUACUGUAUCGCCCUUUUCAUCAUUUGCUGACUACUUCCAUAAACAGUGGGAAUUUUUACCCAAGUUACUGUUUCUUAUUUAAUGCUUGAAAGUCCAGCAUAAGUUAAAUUUGUUAUGUUUUCUCUGUUGAUUAGGUAUGGGAUUGUUUUAGUGUAUCCUGGACAGCCUAUGCUGCUACUGAAGCAAAGCCAUAACGCAUACAAUCUUCUUGUGGAUUUUAAAAAGGAAGGUUUGUCAAGUUAUUGCCGAUUUUUAAUUAUUCCAAGUGUUACCCUAUAUACCAUCUCUUUUGGAAAUUUAUAACAUUUUUAGAAGUUUAAGACUCACUAGCAUGUGUUAAAGUUGCUAACCUUCAGGUGGUUUUGUUAUUGUAAACGACGAAAGGAAGUAGCAAACAAAAUUAUAGUAUAUUAGCUUUAAUGUGCCACAAAGGUUGGUGUACGAUCUGUGUACAUCUUACCAUCCUUAGACCUCAGUUGUGGGAUUAUAGGGGGUUUGUUGUUGUUGCAUCUAAGUAGUAAGCGCACCCCAAGAUGAAUUCUCUCGUAUUCCAACUUCCCCAGAGCUUCCGGUAGCACAACCUUUGUGCCAUUUAAGUUUUUUUACGUGUUACUAUUGUUAGUUCUUAAAAUAUGUUCUCUACAUAUCCGCAUUUAAAAUGGAGUGAUUCAUAUCUUUACCCCUAAUUAGGUUCUAAACAAGUUUGUGAUAGGUCAGUGAGUAUGGAAUUGGUCGACAAAAUUGUUCUACAUAUAUCCAGUGUACUAAUACUUGUGUCAACUCUUUUGGAAGAAAAAACGUUGUUUGGCAAGUGUAUAGUGCCUUUAGGCAUAAGUAGGUGUGAUAGCAAGUUGCUGAUUGUCCCAAUGAGAGGAUCAUAGGAUGGUCUUUGGAGCACAUUAAACUCCACUCACACGUUAUCUGCAAAUAGGCUAAUUGAUUUCAACAACUGCAAAAAGACAUUAGGAUGCAUCCUAAUAAAUUCGAAGAUGAAGAGAAUAGAGUUUGGGAAUUAGUGUCUUGAUUAUUCCCUCAAGGUAGUGGGAUUAAAUAGUGUCACAGAGAAUGCAAUAAGGAAGGAAACUAAUGCGAAUAUUACACAAUAUUCGAUGUGCCUAAUUAUGGGGAUUUGGGAUAUUCCCAUAUCUACGUUAUCUAAUUAUUGAGAUAUUCUCAUAUCUACAUUAUCUCACAAUAAUAUCAUAUUUAAAAUGCCCCCUCAAGAUGGAGCUUAUAAGUCAUAUGCUCCUAGCUUGCCACAAGUAUAGUCAAUUCUAGAUCUUCAGAAUGAUUGUGUUAUAUCUGCCGGUUGAUCUUUCGAGUUGACAAAACUUGUAGAGCUAUAUCCAAACACAAUCUUCUCUCGAAUGAAGUGACAAUCUAUCUCAAUGUGCUUCGUUUUUUCAUGAAACACGACAUUAGAAGCGAUAUGUAGUACAACUUGGUUAUCAGAAAUCAAUUUCAUCAGUUCAACUCCUCCCAUCUUCAAUUCUUGGAGAAGGUUGCCUCAACCAUAAAAGCUCACAUGUAGCCAAUGGCAUAGUUCGGUACUCCGCCUCUGCGCUUGAUCUAGCCAUGACAUCUUGCUUUUUACUUUUCCAAGAUAUUAGAUUACCUCCGAUUUAAACACAAUAACUUAAAGUGGAUCUCAUAUUAGAAGGAGUCCCAGCCCAAUCUGUAUCAGAAUAGCCAACAACAAUAUGGGUGUGUCCCUUGUCUUCAUACAAUUAACCUUGUCCUAGAAAGCUUUUGAUAUAUCUCAGAAUGCAAAUCACCGCAUUCCAGUGACUAUCACAAGGUGAUUGUAGAAAUUGCUAACUACACUAACAACAAAUGAGAUGUCUGGUUGUGUGAUCGUAAGGUAGUUGAGUUUGCCAACAAGUCUCCGAUAUCUACUAGGAUCUUUUAGAGGCUCCCCCUAUCUUGGAAUAAGCUUAGCAUUUGAAUCCAUGGGAGAGUCCACAUGUUUGCAAUCCAACGUACCAUUGUUUUCCAAAAUGUCUAAGGUAUAUUUUCUUUGUGUAAUAGCAAUACUAUUGCUAGACUGUGCCACUUCAAUGCCUAGAAAGUAUUUCAGCUUGCACAAAUCCUUAGUCUGAAAGUGACUUGGUUGUUUGAGUCGAAAAAUACUCACUUGUGAUAACAAUAUCAUCAACAUAAACAAUUAAAAAGAUACGUUUUCCAUGAGAUGAAUGCCUAUAAAAUAUGAAAUGAUCAACUUUUAUUCGUAUCAUUCAAAACUCUUGAACAACUCGAAACGACCAAGCCAUGCUCUAGGAGAUUGCUUGAGACCAUAAAGGGAUCGGUGAAGUCUACAUACUAGUCCAGACUCCCCCCGAGCAACAAAUCCUGAUGGUUGCUUCAUAUAAACCUCCUCAGCAAGUUCUCUGUGUAGGAAUGCAUUUUUAUUGUUGAGCCGAAAAAAGGUCAAUGUUUCAUUAUUGCCAUAGAUACGAGAAGUCGAAUAGAAGGCGACAACUGGUAAGAAAGUAUUUCCAUAGUCAAUGCCAUAAAUCUGAGUGUAUCCUUUAGCAACCGGUCUCGUUUUGAGAUGAUUAAUAGCUCCAUCUGAACCUACCUUAUAUGUGAAUAUCCAACAACAACCAAUAGAGGUUUUGCCUUUCGGUAAAAAAAAAAACAAGAUCCCAAGUACCAUUGUCAUGCAAAACAAUCAUUUCUUCAAUCAUAGCCUUACGCCAACCUGGACAAACCAAUGCUUAUGCCAUAACUUUUAGGAACUUUGAUAGUGGAUAAGUUAGUAAUGAAGGCAUGAUAUGAAUGUGACAAACGGCGAUAACUUAAAUAGGUGUAAAUGAGAUCUUGAUUGGAUGUAGUUCUAAGUAUAACUUAAAUAAGUGUAAAUGAGAGCUUGAUUGGAGGUAGUUCUAAGUACCUUUGCAAAGAGCAAUGGGAAGAUCAUCUAAUGUGUGCUUGGCCG